Molecule: unclassified non-coding RNA, 351 nt
Filed under: soil metagenome
Description: partial contains 5.8S ribosomal RNA, internal transcribed spacer 2, and large subunit ribosomal RNA
Rfam family: 5.8S ribosomal RNA (bases 1-120)
Source: RNAcentral
GAUGAAGAACGUAGCGAAAUGCGAUAAGUAAUGUGAAUUGCAGAAUUCAGUGAAUCAUCGAAUCUUUGAACGCACAUUGCGCCCGCCAGUAUUCUGGCGGGCAUGCCUGUUCGAGCGUCAUUACAACCCUCAGGCCCCGGGCCUGGCGUUGGGGAUCGGCGGAGCCCCCCGUGGGCACACGCCGUCCCCCAAAUACAGUGGCGGUCCCGCCGCAGCUUCCAUCGCGUAGUAGCUAACACCUCGCGACUGGAGAGCGGCGCGGCCACGCCGUAAAACCCCCAACUCUUCUGAAGUUGACCUCGAAUCAGGUAGGAAUACCCGCUGAACUUAAGCAUAUCAAUAAGCGGAGGA